ACCAUCCUAAAACUUCGCUUCCUGAAACAACAAACCUGUGUGAUUUUGCAUGGCGUCUGUGGGUCAGGAAUGGCUGAAGCAGGGCUCCGGACCGGUCAAGAGGGUGCAGGCAAGAUGUUGGCGGAGCUGCGUUCAGUCAUCUGACGGGCUGACUGGACCUAGAGGACCCACUUCCCACGCUGCUCACCCAUGUGGCUGCGACGUGGGUCAGUCCUCUGCGGGGUGUGAGAGAAUGGAGAGCAGGGAGCGAAUCGCGGAGGGCCCCCCCCAGGGGCUGGCUGCUGGAUCAGCACUGAGCACGGGACACCUGUUGUAACGAGUACUGUGUACAAUGCACCAAAACCCACGAGGGAAGAAUUCCCCUGCGUAGGAAAUGAAACUUUUAGGACUCCACCCCUGUGCUUCGGAAUAUUCGAUGACAACAUUAAGGACCAAAACCCUCCAACUUCCACUUUACUUUCUACUAACGCAUUUGACAUCAGGAGUGGAUUUCAGAAUGACUUGUCACCAAGCCCAGAAAAUGUAAAUGAUCUGGAAUGCUCUUAAUGACCUGAUUUGGGAACAUCGUCAAGUCGACUCAAGGAAGAAUGCUGUUCAGGUCAGGUGGCCUCCGUGGGCCUCCUGUAUAUGCAUGAGCCUCGCCGUUUCCGGGGGUCUCUUGGAGAUUCGAUCAUGCAAGUGAUGGACUCAGGGGACUUCACUUCUUAGUAUCAUCACGUCCUUUUCGGGGUCUGCUACCCCGUUCAACAAGCUGAAGGUAGUCUUUGCAGGGUUUUCACUAAGAAAAGCAAGCGUCAGCUUAUUAAGUUUAAUCAAGUGGAACCGCGCGUAGGAUCUCCCAUUACCUUCCCAUUAACAUGGAAACUGCCUAAUUUUCUGGCUGUUGCCAUUCUUGCCACCGCCUGUCUUUGUCGCGCAGCAAGCACUCUCUGAGUCAUGAAGAACCUCCCACAGGCCUGCAGGAAAACCUCGACUCAGAAACCCAGUCUGAUGUCUCCUGGGCCUUCGGCAUCUCACAGAUAACGAUCUUGAUGCAGGAAAACAUUUGGCUUUUUGUAGUGAUGGAUUUCUUUCCUGUAACUUCAACAACCUGAGGACCAUCUUUGCAAGAGAAGCUCGUUCCCACAGAUGUUCCUUCUUGCACCAGAGUUAUGUCCGGGACAGGGUUUAUUUGCCCACAGGUCACGGAGCUUCGACAGAAGCAGCUGUGCGCCCAUUUCCGCUGGCCGCCUUUCUCCUGGAUCCUUCUCCCUUGGCCAAAUGUCUUCAAUCCCCCUUCCCCCGACACUUGGCUCUUGAGAGGAGUCUGAGCGCUGAGAGGCUCGCUGUCGGCAAUCAGCUUCUUGCUGGGUAUCUUCCAGUUCCCUUGCUCACGGACCUCUGCGUGCUGCAGACGCUCUGCACCUGUUGGGUCAGAUUCAAUUUCCUGCAACUGCUCCGGACCCGUCCUGUGCGUCUAUCUGCUGAGCAAAAGCCUCUGGUCCUGGCUUCCGAGCCCUGAGGCUUCCCAGGCCUGGUGGCAAGCCCGGGGACCUUGCUAGGUGUCGCGUGCGGACCACGACACCUGGCGUCACUGCAUCUCCUCCACCAGAGGCCCAGCCCGCACCUCCAUCUUCCGCGGGCCAAGCGGCCACACCCCGCAUCGCCUGCGGCCCGGGCCCUCCUAGCCCCUCAUGCUUCAGGCCUCUCCACCGGACCUGCUCCCAGACACCUGGGGCCUGGGGACCGUCCUCGUGCCACCGCCCAACGACUAGCACCCGGAAGCGAGAACAGCCAUCGGGAGCCAGCAGACCCCCUGGGGUCGCAGCCUCCUAGACUUGACGGGGCAAAUCCUGCCCCCCCGCCAGAGCACUUUGUCCAAUCGACGCUGGCCACCGGCUGAGAGGCAGCAACUUUGUCCAAUUGGUCUCACCGACGCCCCCUUCCCGGGAGGCUCGCCUAAUCACAAGGUGAAGGCGCCAAUGACGCCUCCUGGAGAAACACGGAAGGCGGGGAAAAAAGAAGGGGUGUGGCCACAGGCCCCGCCUUCCACGCUGUAGGAGAGGUGGUGCGCCUGCGUGAGGGAGCCCGGGGCAAUAAGGCGGAGGCGGUACCUAAGGUGGGUGUCUGCUCCGCGUCCUUUGCAAGAUUCUUUUAAAACCGCAUGUCUUACCGUGACAGCUAGUUUAAUUAAAACCAAAUUUAUUGCACCGAUCCCCUUAUCCAAGCACUGCACGUGACAUUUUCUAUUUAUAUUUAUUCUUUUUAAAAAAACUUUUUAAAUCUUUAUUUAUUUUU
Molecule: long non-coding RNA, 2277 nt
Organism: Suricata suricatta (meerkat)
Lineage: Eukaryota; Metazoa; Chordata; Mammalia; Carnivora; Herpestidae
Exons: 4
Source: RefSeq, a predicted model, not a curated record